GAGCUUACUUCAGCAUCACCUAUACUAUAACUGGAAUAAUACAGAGAAGAUAAAGUCAACCCCUGAUUGAAGAAGACAUACAAAACCAUGAAACAUUCCAUAUUUUU
Molecule: small nuclear RNA, 107 nt
Organism: Lepus europaeus (European hare)
Lineage: Eukaryota; Metazoa; Chordata; Mammalia; Lagomorpha; Leporidae
Source: RefSeq, a predicted model, not a curated record